CUCCACAUUUGUCUGAUUCCAUUCCUGAGGCGGCUGGGCUGCGCUGCGGCCGCCUUCCUGCUGGGGACCUUGUUCUCCCUGGUCUGCCGGAGUCCGCGAGCUCCGCCGCCCGACUUCGCCGCCGCCUGGAGACGGCUGGCCGCGGCCGCCCGCCGGAGAGUUUCCCAAGUAAGGAAAUGCUUCAGAAAUCAUUACUUCACGUUUUGAUACAGCUUUGACACUCAUUUCUAGGAUCUGUCCAAGAUGAACACAGUAAUACUUUCCCGUGGCUCAUAUUAAAGUUACACAGAGGAGUGACGUCACAAGACUUUGCUCCCCUCCCAAGAACAGCAACUAACAACUCUUCAUGGACAAGACCCCACCGUGAAACCCUAGAACAGGUGGUGCAGCUGCACCACAGACACACCAUUAUAAGGAACUGGCUUACACAAUUGCUGGGACUGACUAAGCUACUCCGAAGUCCAAAGGGCAAGUGGUCAGAAAGGGAAGAUCAAAAGCCAAGGUCUAAGAUGCUGUCCACAGCUGGAAUUUAUUUUCCUCACCUCAGGAGGUGAAGUUCAACAGGAGCAGGUGCCAGGAACUGUGAAAUACGGGCAACAUUUACGCACACCACGUCCAGGUUCAGCAGAGAAAACUUCCUCCACUGUCGCUUUGGGAAAGAAGAUCUUAAAGAUCACAAAG
This is a non-coding RNA of Globicephala melas (long-finned pilot whale), 681 nucleotides long. Lineage: Eukaryota; Metazoa; Chordata; Mammalia; Artiodactyla; Delphinidae. The record is from RefSeq and is a predicted model, not a curated record.